This 460-nucleotide ribosomal RNA is filed under the name uncultured bacterium. RNAcentral describes it as "partial 16S ribosomal RNA". It matches the Rfam family "Bacterial small subunit ribosomal RNA", at positions 338 to 795 of the family's 1533-position model. The record is from RNAcentral.
CCUACGGGUGGCAGCAGUGAGGAAUAUUGGUCAAUGGACGAGAGUCUGAACCAGCCAAGUAGCGUGAAGGAUGACUGCCCUAUGGGUUGUAAACUUCUUUUAUAUGGGAAUAAAAUGUUCCACGUGUGGGAUUUUGUAUGUACCAUAUGAAUAAGGAUCGGCUAACUCCGUGCCAGCAGCCGCGGUAAUACGGAGGAUCCGAGCGUUAUCCGGAUUUAUUGGGUUUAAAGGGAGCGUAGGUGGAUUGUUAAGUCAGUUGUGAAAGUUUGCGGCUCAACCGUAAAAUUGCAGUUGAAACUGGCAGUCUUGAGUAAAGUAGAGGUGGGCGGAAUGCGUGGUGUAGCGGUGAAAUGCUUAGAGAUCACGAAGAACUCCGAUUGCGAAGGCAGUUCACUGGACUGCAACUGACACUGAGGCUCGAAAGUGUGGGUAUCAAACAGGAUUAGAUACCCUUGUAGUC